UUUAGCUCAUUAGAAUAGAACAUGUUUAUAAUAGAAUAGCCUUUCGUUAACUUAAAGGCAUAGAUGUUAAGGUAAGAUGUGUGUUUCAAUCCUUGGUUGGCUGUGUAACUAGCCCUGUAAACUGCUUUCCAUUAAUUGAUAAUGCUAGAUCAAGGCUACCCUAGUACAAAUGGUUUCUCAUUAUCAGCUUCUUACUGCUUUCUGACUAUUUUUCCCGCGUCACGUUAAUGUCUUUAUGUGUUUCAACAGUGAUUCAGAAUGUUACUCACAGAGCUUCAAUUAAAUCUCCAGAUAGGACUCCGUUGGGAGGAACAAUAGUAGUCCAUCUUAUUGUUCCAGGUCUUAAUGAAACCACCAUAAAACUUCCCGCAUCCAUAAUGCUUGAGAUCUCUGAUGCAAUCAAGACACAACUGGCUAAGAAUGAAACCCUGGCAUUACCUGCUGAAUCUAAAACACCAGAAGUAGAAAAAAUUCCAGCGCAGCCCGUAACAGUUCUCAGCGAAAGGACCCCAGAAACGUCAGGAACUAUUCUAAUACCUACGUUUGAAUUGCCACUGAGCACUCUAGGUAAACAGCACUCAACACUGCAGCUUUAUUAUCACCUUGGGAAUUUUACGCAUGCUCGAAAGAAGUCCUUAAGCUAAUU
Molecule: long non-coding RNA, 646 nt
Organism: Loxodonta africana (African savanna elephant)
Lineage: Eukaryota; Metazoa; Chordata; Mammalia; Proboscidea; Elephantidae
Exons: 4
Source: RefSeq, a predicted model, not a curated record